GACGAACGCUGGCGGCGUGCUUAACACAUGCAAGUCGAACGAUGAUGCCAGCUUUCUGGUGGAUUAGUGGCGAACGGGUGAGUAACACGUGAGCAACCUGCCCCUGACUUCGUGAUAACCGCGUGAAACCGUGGCUAAUACCGGCUAUGACGCGCUAUCGCAUGGUGGUGUGUGGAAAGAUUUAUCGGUUGGGGAUGGGCUCGCGGCCUAUCAGCUUGUUGGUGGGGUGAUGGCCUACCAAGGCGACGACGGGUAGCCGGCCUGAGAGGGUGACCGGCCAGACUGGGACUGAGACACGGACCGGACUCAUACGGGAGGCAGCAGUGGGGAAUAGUGAACGAUGGGCGCAAGCCUGAUGCAGCGACGACGCGUGAGGGAUGACGGACUGCGGGUUGUAAACCUCUUUCAAUAGGGAAGAAGGCAUCGGGGGUGACGGUACCUGCAGAAGAAGCGCCGGCUAACUACGUG
Molecule: ribosomal RNA, 468 nt
Filed under: uncultured bacterium
Lineage: Bacteria
Description: partial 16S ribosomal RNA
Rfam family: Bacterial small subunit ribosomal RNA
Source: RNAcentral